GGCCUCUGUGUGUGCCUAUGUGCACACACACACACAUCUACACAGGUGUUUCUUUUCUUGAAAAUCUCUCUUUCUGGAUCCUUCCAUGCCUUUUAAUCCCCUCUCCUGUCAGUAUCCUUCCUUUUAAGUCCAACUUCUUUGACAAAUGGGCUCGCUUGGCUGAGUACUUCGCACCUGCAACAGCUCAGGUCUCAGCUGCCUCCCUCCUGCCCAGUCCCCCGGGGAGGGCAUGGACCCAAGUCCGGGGGGGAGGGGGGAGGCUCCUGUUAGCACAGCGCUGUUGUCUCCCCCACCAACCCCGUGGCAGAAGUGCUCUGGCCUUGAGGAGGCCUAGCCAUCUAACAUCUGGAGCCAACGUUGUCUCCACUCCCAGGCAAAGCUCCUUGCCAGUGGCUGGCCCCAAGAAGUCCACGCGGCUCCUUCAGGAGGCGCAUGAGGGUCCGGGAGCGUGGAAGGGGAGCUCCUGGUGCAGUGUCUCAAGGUCAUUUCUGCAGUCACCCUCAGACUUCUGUGAGCUUCUGGCAGCUUGACCUACCAGGGAGGGAGGGACCAGCUCCAGAGGUUCUCCUGGGGUGCACCUCACCUACCCCAACAGCCUGGAUAUCUUCUGACAACCAGGGCUUCCAGAACCCCAGGGCCCACCUGAGAUGGGCACACAGCUCGGCCUCUUCAAUACAGGGGCUAGUUGAGAGAAGCGUUGCCAAACAGCCUCCUCUGAAGGACGAGGAACCGGAGACGGAACUUAGGCCUUGCCACUGUUCUCCUAACAAUAUCAUAAAAUAAAAGGAAAAAAAUUUUAAAUUUUGAAACAUUCCAACAAAGUACUGUAUUAGUUUCCUCUUGCUGCUAUCCCAAGUUACCACGAAUUUAGUGACUUAAAACCACAUAGAUUUGUUCUCUUACGCUUCUGGAGGUGAGAAGUCUAAAGGCAUGGUGUUGGUAGGGCUGUUCCUUCUGGAAUCUUCAAGGGAGAAUCUGUUUUCUUGCCUUUUCCAGCUUCUAGGAACCGUCUGCAUUCCUCGGCUUGUGGCCCCUUCUUCCAUCUUCAAAGCUCAUCCCUCCAACCUCACUUCCAUUGUCACAUGUUCUUUCUCUGACUCUGACCCUCCGGGCUCCUUAUCUUCUAAGGACCCUUGUGAUUACAUUGAGCCCACUGGGAUAAUUCAAGAUAAUCUCCCGUUUCAGGAUCCUUAACUUAAUCCCACCUGCAAAGUCCCUUUUACCACAGAAGGUAGCAUGUUCAUAGGUUCUAGGGAUUAGGACAUGGGGGGACAUCUUUGGGGGCUGUUAUUCAGCCAACCAUGAGUAUAAAAUGUAAUAUGGGUAGACGUCUGUAUCUGCCACCAAGAUUAAACAGAUGCUAAUAUUUUGCCUUAUUUUCUUCAGGUUUUUUCCCCCAGAAAUAAAGCUUUAUAGAAAUAGCUAAUGCCCUAUAUCGCUUUUCCCUCUCUUUCUCCUCCAAAGUAACCACUUCCCGAGGUUGGUGAAAAUAACCCCCACGUGUUUCUGUUUGCUCCAGAUUAUAAAUGCAUUUCUAAACAGAACAGUACUAUUUCUUUACGUUUUGAACCUUGAUGUAAAAGGAAUCACUGUGCGUACCACUUUGCAACCUGCUUUUUUAACUCAAUAUGGUUUUGAGAUUAUACAUGUUGAUACAUGAAGAUCUAGUUCAUUCAUUUUAACUGCAAGAUACAGUACUUCCGAUGAGCAAGCCAGAGUUCACUUUGUCCUUUUGCUGAAGACAGAUUGUUUUCACUUUUUUUUUUGCUAUUACAGACAGUGCUUCAAUAAAUAUCUUUGUACUUGUUUUCUCGAACACCUGUGCCAAAGACCUCAGUGGGAGCCGCCCUGCUGGGUGUGGGAUGUGCACACCUUCAGAAUUAUUAGGUGUUGCCUACUGGUCCAAGAGGACUUCCCAACUACAAUGUUUAAAAGCAUCCAUUUUCCCACAUCCUCACCAGCAUCUGGUAUUUUCAGAUUUGCUGUUUUUUCAAAAUGAUUUCCUUACAUGUUUUCCAGUCAAUCUGUUCUGCUCCCAAUUUUUUCUUGAACGUUUAUACAACUGGGACCCUUCCUCCAUCUUGACCCAGAGUUUGUCAAUCCACCCUGGACCUUCCGUGUUCUGCAUGGUACCCUCACCUGAUUCCCUCCCUAGGGAGCUCCCCACUCCAGACGGCCCUCUGCCCAUGCUGAGUUCCAUUUGUGCCAGCCCUAGAAGAGCUGCCCCCUGUAGGGUUCGGAGGCUCUCUGCCCUCCCCACAGAAGCUGUGGGACGUGCAGCGAUUCUCCCGCUGGGAGGUGAAGACUUCUGCAUUACAACCCUCCAGCCUAGAUGAACGAGGCACGUCCAACUCUGACGACGAGAGUAAAUCCACCCUAGAAUUAUUCACAAUAAAUGGUUGUGUUUCUCCUGUCCCCAAGGGUGUUCUGGAACAUACACCUGCCAAUGAACUAAAAACCGUAUCCAGAACGUGGCAGAUGGAGGACUAAGUCCAGAGACUGUGUGUGACCUUUCUUCCCAGGGCAAGCCUCCUUUUUUUAACAGCCUUUAGACACCAAACCUUCUUCUCUUCUAGGUUUUUAAACCCCGCUUUAAGGUCCAGUUAAAGUGGUGGGCUCACUCUCUUGAGUUCUCCCAGCACAGGGGGUCCUCUCUGAGUUAUCUGGCCCUCAUAAUGAUCGUUUUUCCUCCUGUUGGCCCUUCAACAAAUGGAAACGGCAUUGUCCUCACGUGUCUGUGUUAAGCUGAACAGAUUGCUCAGCUAUCUGGUUCCGACCUGAUGGCCUUUUGAACUUUGUAUAUGCCUGGCAGCUGUCCCUGCCCAUUUUGUAUAUUCCCAUGUGCGCACCAGCCAGGGCUUUGCCCAGGGGUGCUGCUGGCAGAGUCAUGCUUAACCUCCUGCUGUGAUAAACUAUUGGUUUGUGGUUCUGAUGCUCAACAUUGUGCCCCCUUGUCUGACCCAUCCUGGGAUUAAGACAGGGAGAGGUGGGGCCGGCCUGGUGGCACAGCAGUUAAGUUUACACGUUCUGCUUCUCAGCGGCCCGGGGUUCGCCGGUUUGGAUCAUGCUGUGGUAGGCAUCCCACGUAUAAAGUAGAGGAAGAUGGGCAUGGAUGUUAGCUUAGGGCCAGUCUUCCUCAGCAAAAAGAGGAGGAUUGGCAGUAGUUAGCUCAGGGCUAAUCUUCCUCAAAAAAAAAAAAAAAAAAAAGACAGGGAGAGGAGGGGUUCACAGUGACCAGCAUGGCAUGAGGCUCCUUUGGGCCCUAUGUGUUACCUUCUGUCAUCUAAAGGAUAUGCAAAACUCCCUUUCAACUGAAUUCCCUUUCCAGAGAAUAACCCAGACCAACAGAGCCCAGGGGACACCAGCCCUGACUGUCCUCCUCCUCACAGGCUACUGGAAGCUCAAAAUGCCUGAGGUGCCAGGAGGCAGAGGGACAAGGAAACCACAGAAUAAGUCACCCAGAAACCCAGGGAGUUGAAAUCCUCUUCUCAAGCGCUUGUUUGCUAAAAACAAAUGUUUCCUAAUGGAACUCACACGGAGGCCUGGGCAGCCACCAAGGCGAAUAAUUUGGCGGAUGUCGGGGCUGGGGUGUCCGCGACUUCUGAAGAGGACCGACGAAGCUCACAGCCACAUGCCUGCACAUGACAUCUCUCACUGGGCUCCUCUCUCCAGGCUUUGUGGAUUCCUGAAUUCUCUCUGGCCGGGAAAUCUGAUCAAUCAUCUGAAAAGUUUUAAAAGGAGCUAGGUGAAGAUUUUUUCCCCCUGGCAGAACAGUUUAAAUCCUGCCGUAAAUUAAGGGUUCGCUUAACUCCUAAUUACUGCAUUAGAAAUUAAGAUAUUGUUUCUGUAAGACUUCUCAAACCAAAGUUCUUAUUCUUCAAAAAUGACAUCCUGCUUAUUAGCUUCUUAAAAAUCACUCACCACGGGGUUUACUGAUGGCUCUUGACAGUUUGCUGCCAUACACUUCUCAGCGACUGGAGGACACUCUCCUAAUCUAUAGUCUUACAUGAGGAGCAGAUGGGUUGAUACAUCCGUUCCAUGGUCGUGCUUGGCUUCAUCUUACUGAGAAGUUGGUUAAGUACAAUGUAAGAGGCAAGGUGUGGGUGUCACGUGAUGCCAUCUGUGUGUGUCUGACUGUGUGUCUAAUGAUGGACACGUAAUUGUACCGUGGUGAGCUGGAGCGGGCUCUCAUCACAAGCUCCUUGUGUGCAUUUCUUCUCGACUCCGCAUUCACUGACAUCAAGUCAGCAGCGUGAAAUCAGCCACACUAGGAGUAUUUACACCACAAAAAUUGGCAAACGCUACCAACCAGGGUGGGGUGGGGCGAGUGCUUAGAAAACGUCUGGAAGAAACAAGAAACACCAAAAAUAAUUACCCAUGCAGAGUGAAACUGGAGAGCAAGGGGAUUGGAGAGAAGUUUUUUUUUGCUUUUUGAAUUUUUUAAAAUCACGUUUGUAACUGUUUUUUAAAAAGAGAACUUUCUUUCUUUUUUAGGAACAAAGACUUCAGCAGCCUUUGUUAAUCCCACGCCAACUGUUAGCUGGAAACUGCCUGCGGCCCACCUGCCUGACUGGCCCACCUGCCUGACGAGGAGGAGAUCAGAGCCUGGAGAGGUGUCCUGAAGCCCCAGUGGGGCAACAUCCUGGGACGGGAGCUGGAGGCUGGGCAGAGGGAGGCCGUAGUCCGCAGUAAACAACUACCGAGGAAUGAAGCAGAACUCCAGAUGGAUUCCAGGAAGGAACCUCGUCACGCUCCCGAAAGGACUCCUAGAGGCCCCGGAUGUUCCCUAUCUCCUUCUGUACUGUUGACACCUGAUCGACCUUAAAAUGCUGCCGAACCUAUUGAUGAAUUCCAGUCCUCCCCAAAAAGCCCAUAUCAGUUUCAGCUAUCUCAUCCCCAAGAGCCUGUGGAGAGGCCAGCAGCCCAUCGUGAGAUAAUCAGAGGGGGGCCUGCCCAUCCUCAGUCUUUCACUUUGUCAACACUGAGACUCGUGGCUCCUGUGUGCUGUGCUGAGCUCCAAGGACGCAGAGAACGCUGGUCCCACGUGGAGGAGAGCAUGGGUGCAAGACUGUGGCACCACCACCAGGCUGUAGGUCCCAAGGAAGCCCUGUGUUGUAUUUGUAACUGUAUCUCUUACACCUAACAGGAGGCCCACACCUAGUAGGUGCUCAAUAAAAAAUUAGAAAUAAAUAAUACAACACGCUCCCUUUGAUAACAAAGAGUUGGGAGAUGGGGAGGAAAUGGUUAAUUCUGCUAGGGUAUUAAAGAAACCUUCACCGAAGAGGCCACAGGUCCAAGCUGGUCCAUGAAAUUGUAGGAGUCAACGGGCAGAGAAGGGAGAAGAGCAGUCCAGGAGGAGCGAAUGGGAGGGUGUGAUGUGGCAAGAGGUCAAGCAGGAAGAAAGGCAGGAUGAGGAGGGACCUUGAACUGCAGGCAGGUCCAGGCCCCACAGAUGCUAACUCUGUUCAUAGAUUCUACUGUUCACGUGACAAAUUCUUCUUAGAAUCACGAGCCAAACUGCCUCUUUAGAAACAUUAAUUUCCUUUUGUCAAGUGGUGAAGCCAUGCUGUGUUUCCUUUCUCACUUUGACUGCCAGGAAGCUCCUGAAGUACUGGGUUCCUUAUAAUUUUUUGUAUCCCCUAACAGUCCCACGCAGGACUUUCCACCCAAUAGAUCCUGUUUUAGUUCUCUGUUGCUGCAUAAAAAUAUACCAGCGAAUGUAGAAGCUUCAAAUAAUACUCAUUUAUUAGCUCACAGAAGUGUGGGCAAGGCUUGACUGGGUCUUCUGCAAGCCUUCAAUCAAGAUGUCAGCCAGGGCUGGGGUCUCAUCUGAGGCUUGACUGGGGAAAGAGCUGCUUGCAAGCUGUGUGGUUGUUGGCAGAAUUCAGUCCCUUGCAGAUGCCAGGCAGAGGCCUCAGUUUCUUACUUGGUGUCAGCUGACCCUUAGUAUCUUACCCUUUUAACAGGCAGCCCACAACAUGACAGCUUGCUGCUUCAAAGGUGCAAGGGAGGAGGUGUCCUUGCAAGACUGCCUUUGCAGUCUCGUGUAGGGGUAAUCAUGGCCACACAGUCGCAUACAUCUGUCACCUGUGCCUAUUCUAUUGGUUAGAACAAGUCCCACCCACGCUCAGGGAGGGGUUUACACAGGGCGUGAAGACCAGCCGAAGGAUCAUGGGGCCACCUCCGAGUCUGUCAGCCCCAGGUCCUCAUCAGAUAUUAACCAUUAGUUAACUGAACUACUCUGUUUGGCAAUUAAGGGCAUCACUGUUAUGUAGACACACAUAUUAUCUCCCCAAGAAGACAGGGAAGUGAGCUCUCUUCCUGCUCAGAACGCCCCCCCCGCCCCCACAGCAUCCACCACAAUGCUGGGCACUGACCAGCUGAUAAAUAUGAAACGAAGAAAUGUCAGAGGAUUCACAGUACUGCUGGAAGGACCUGGGGCUUUCUAUCAUCAAGGUGAAUCUCUGAUUGUCAUAAAUUUCUGGUUUGACACAUGUAAUUAAAAAAAAAAACCCAUAAAACAAUCCUAACAGCCACGAAGUGGGACCUACAUCAGACAAGACCAUUACACAUGUGGCCCUUCUCUAGCAAAAUGUCUCCUGACUCCCAGCCCCUAUUGUUUCCUCCCACGUUACAGAUGAGCUAUGCACAUUAAUAGUUUCCCGAUUCUGCCAGUGCAGCAUUUCACUAGCACAGUCUGAGAACCUGGGCUCUGGAGCCAGGCAGCCUGGGUUGGCAUCAAGCUUAGCCACUUACUGUGUGAUCUCAGACAAGCUGCUUAACUUCUAAUAAUGAUAGCAAAUGCUUGGUUAGUAUUUGCCAUGUGCCAGGCUCUUGACAUAUAUUAAAUUCAUAUAAAUUCAUUUAACCCAUCUAACCACCCUGGGAGGUAGGCAGCAUUAUUAGCCCCAUUUUACAGAAGAGAAAACUGAGGGAGAAUGGUCAAGACUGGGCUUAAGGCUCUCAGCCUGAGCAAGAACAUGGAGAUAGAAGGGUAAAUGGUGGACAAGACAACUGAGGACAGAGGAACAGCAAACAGGAAGCUAGUGCCAGUGGGUUCUCCUUCUAACCUGCUGUCCCCACGGCCGACCCUGGCCAAGGUGGACAGGUAGAAACCGUGCGCUUUACCAUUUGAACUGCUUGUCUGGACUAAGAGCUUAAAUGUGACUUGCAGGUCUGUGCAGGGUGUGGGGAGCAGAAAGGAGAAGCCAGAAUGCUAUCACUUUGGGAACUAGAUUUCGUCCUGCUUACAGCCACCUCACCCUGAUCUUUUUAGGUGGGUCUGUGGACCCUGCUUGUCUGACCUGCCAGUCAAUAUUCAGUGGUGGUACUGGGUGAGUCGCUGUACACACUAAGGGUCUGUUGCCAUGGUGUGGUGGGGACUGGUGUUGGAGGACAGUCGGUAUGUCAGCGAAAGUUCCCCUUAUGUGAGGGGCUGUUGAGGGGCCAGAGGUUCUAUCUCAGCUUCUGGAACCUUCCACCAACUCCAAAAGGGCAAAGGGCAUCGGAGUUAGCCUGUGAGCACGCUGAACACAGGGAACAAGGUUUCCUCUACUGGGAUGGCUGUGGAGGUGGUGGUGGUGGUGAUGGGAGGUGUUCAGCCUCUGAGACCAGAGAGGAGGGUUGAGAGACGAGGGGGCCGCGACACAGGGACAAAGCGGGCACAGCCGACAAAGACUCGCCUGCAGGAAGGGCCCUUUCAGAACAGUUGGGCUUAGGGAACAAGAUAAUGCACCACGGAGAGGGGAGAGGAGCUGGCACUCAAAGAGCUCUAGGGACGGUCCCUUCCUCCUCCCCAGCCGGACAGCUCUGGGCCUCCGUGGAUCUGGGCGUCCCUUACCCUGCACCCUCCUCCCACCCUCACCUCCUGACCGUUAGCCCUCUGAGGCCACCUCGUGACCAGCUGUGGGGAGGGGACCCGCCCGAGAUUCCAAAAACCCCUCAGAGCCAGACACCCUCUUAAUCCACGACCCCUUCCUCUGCCCAGACGCCCCCUUCACCCUUGUAACCCAGCCUGGGGGCCCCCCUGCGAGUCUGGCUUCUCUGGUAGGACUCAGCAAGCCUCACGGAGCAAACCAGCGCUUCCGACACUUUUCCCGCCAACAUGGCCGGGUAAUAGCUGGGAGGCUCCGCUGGUGCGCAGAGACACACGCAAACUGAACCCAGCGGCGGACACACAGUCCCCGAGAGGCACACAGGGAAUCCUGUGCCUGCCCGGGGAGUGACCUGGGGCUCCGGGCCUGCCAUCACUCCCUCGAAUAUUCCGCGCCCCACCCCCCAUCCCGCCACGACCCUGCAUCUCCCCACUGCCCUUUUCUGCCUGCCUAUCUCCCCUUCCUUCCUGACAGCGGGAAGGGGGUUCCACGAGGACAGAGGAGCCCCCCGCGCUCUGGCGCUGACUGUCCGCAAGUGCGCCCACUUUCGCAUGGGGACGGGAGCGUUUCUGCCCGGGAACUGCCUGCGCGCGGAGGACACACGGUGAUCUCCAGGCUGUGGCGGGCGGUGCGCGCGCGCCUGGCUUCCCCUCUGCGGUGGGGACCAGGCUUCACACUGCCUGGACUGCGCCACCUGCCCUUUGAGAGAAACGUGAGGCACUUCCACACCCUGGAAGCGGAGGCGGCCCAGCACCCGGCCCCUAACGUGAAGCCCCGGGAGGGAAUCAGGGCGCCAAAAGCGCCCCACGAAGCGCGGAGGCGCACCGACCGGGUGUCGGUCAACUUUGCGCACAUAUGUGGGAAUUAGGGGCCGUAGGCCUUGGCAGCGGGGGCAGGAGGGACGGAGCGGUGCGACUGGAGAGGGCCCGGCUCGCCAAAGGGGAUCUCGGAGUCCUGCGGGAGGCGCCACCCGGGCCCAGACGCAGGAGGCCGGGGGCGGGGAGGCGGAUCCGUCAAGCUCCAGUUGAGCCCUGGAAAAACCCCGGCGCGCAGGGGAGAGGCGGGCCAGCUCGCAAGCACUGCCGGGGACGGCGGGAACAAAGGCGGCCCGCGGCCGGAUGCAGUCAUGGAAAAACCCGUUGGGGCGCCGCGGCGGGGGCGGCAGGGGAGGGGCGGCGCGCGCCCGGCAGCCAUGCCACCCUCACCGGCCGGCCUGGGCGGGGCUGCUCCGUCCCUAGCCCCGGAGCGCUCCUCGCCGGCGAAGGGGGAGGCCCAGGAAAACAGAAAAUGCCGGGCGGGGCGGGGAGGCCUGGGGACCGAGAACCGGUAACCCCCUUGCUCCGAUGCUGCGCGCCAGCCUGCCCGCCGUGCACAUCCCAUGCUCUCGGCUGCGAGGGGGAGGGUGGCCCCGGCUGGUACACGCCAGACACACGCGGCGCUGCACACGGCCACUUGGCAGCUACAGCAGCCGGUGGUGACCAGCCCGUAGGGGGCGCGCACAGACGCAGGCAAUGGCGCGGACGCGUGUGCGGCGGCGCACACGCUCCUGCACACACAUGAUCACUUACGUGCACGUGCACCCAGUCACGCGAGCUGCCCAUAGCUCCCAGGGCUAGAUACAGAAGCUAGGGGCGGGGGCCUUAGAAGAAGCUGCGGUUAGGGUGCCCCCCUCCCCAUUUUACAGGUGCGGAGACUGGGCCUCCUGGGACCUAACGUGCCAGGUCCCGCCCCAGGGCUGGAGUUUCCCUCCCAUGCAGGACGCUGCCCGCCCUGUCCUGGUCUUAUGAACUGCCUGGAGACGGGGAGGCGUCACCACGGAAUUUUUUUUUUUCUGUGGAAAAGGAAAGUGUUGGCGCAAGUUGGACCCAGUGACUCCUUACGCCUUUUCCAGUUCUGACUUAUUAUGAAGAAGGAACUGUACCCAGAUCCCAUAAAAGGAGUUGGUGGGAGCUGAGAACAAGACUUGGUCCCUGGUUUAGCCCCAACCACAGGCUCUUCCUGGUUCAAAUGUCCCCUUGUUUAUUUGUGCUGCUGCCUGCCCGUGGGGGGUCAGGAGGCAAAGCCUGAAGCCGUGGUGUCCCUGGGGUGAAGAAGGGAUGUAGAGUAGGACAUGACUCCGCGGACCCAGAGCCAGCCUCUGGGAGCAGAGGGGACCCCAGGCUCUGCCCUAAGGGGGAGCUGCUGGGUUGGGGUGGCAGGUCUGGCUUCCUAAGCAGGAGCCCACGACUUCAAGAAGCUUCAAGUUCGAGAAGAGGCCUUUUUGUGAGGCCUGGCUGUUGGAAUUGUUGUGGAAAUACAGUUGUGAUAGAGGGACUGGUCACCAAUCAGAAUAAAGAUUCAAGAGAAGCAGGGGCGCCAGCGACACGACAGGGUCCAAUGAGCUGGCAUUUACUCCUGGUCCCCUUGGGAACUGAGUUUGGAAUCAAAUUACCCAGCCCUGCUUCUCCCUAGCUUCCUGGUUUGGGGAUCUUAUCCAUCAUCUUUGGGCCUCAAAUUCCUCAUCUGUAAAAUGGGAACAAGAGCUCCUCCACAGGGGUGUUUUGGGGAUUGAAAGUGGGUAUAAAUCCCCCCUUCCAUCCUGCCGCCCCUCCUUUUCCUCUUCUCGAAGUCCCCGGUGCUUGCGCGUUAGGAGUCCUUCCAAGUGCUGGUUUCGCUGUGAGCAGGUGGGAGGUCCAGUGGGACGAAGGCUAGGGAGCAGCGCCCCCUGGUGGUCUGUAUCAGGAGGCUCGCUCCUCCGUGAAGACCCGCCCCGGUUAACCUGGUUAGCUCCUGCUGGCGUCUGGCAAGUUCGAGUCUCCAGGGGCCGAUCGUGGAGCUCUACUCAGGGCGGCCUUUCCUUCUGACUCAGUUUCCCCCUCGAGCAAGCAGGGAGAAUGCUGCUCCCCCACAGCAGCUUCUCCUCUGCUCUCUCACGGCCCAGCUUUAACCAGCUUCUUUCAUUUCUGCCCCGGAGGAAUCCGCGCACUUGGCGUUUACACUGCGCUUUAUAGCUUGCAAAUCACUUUGACACACAUUACUGGUCCCUGAGGUGUGCUGUUUCUGGGUGGUGACGGCGCUCGAUGGAUAGAGGAUCGUGUUUUAGAGCGUGGCUCCAGCACGGUGCGCUGGCUUGGAUCCUGCCGCCUUCAUCCAGCGUGUAACCAGGGCGACAUUCAAAACAUUGAAUAACCAGUAGGACAGGCAGCGACCAAUCCGAACAGACCCUGCCCUAAACGCCAGGUACAGCCAAAUGCCUGUAUACUUGCUGAACAUUCUGGAAUAACCUCAACCUCACUGGGCCUUGGUUUCUCUGUCUGCAGGACAGGAAUGGUGAGCCCAAUAGUACCACCAUAUAGGGCUGUCCUGAAGACCAAAUUAGUUAAUGCACAGAAAAGACUGGGAAAUCAGUCUAGCCCAUAGAAAGCACCAGAUGAGUUAGCUUUAUUACUGGUCCUGCCUCCUCUCAGACUCAGUGACUCACGAUGAUUGCCACUUUUAAGAGAAACUCUCCAAGUGAGCCCACUGUAUGUACCUAAGGCUGCCUCCUGCCUCCACGCCUCCUUGUCUGGCCCUCCAGUUAUCUUACUCUCUAGGACUGCUUCUCAAACUUUACCAUGCGCCCAGAUUUCUGGGGGAUCUUGUUAAAUUGCAGAUUCUGAUUAAGGCGUUCUGCAUGGGGCUUGGGAUUCUACAAUCCCUCCAAGCUCCCAGGCAGGGCUGACGCCGGUCUGAGAAGCAAGACUCCAGAUCAGUGCAGAAGCAGAAGUGGCAGCUGAUGGAUCUGUGAAUGUUUAUUGAGCACCCACUCAGUGCAGGGCAGUCCGAGGAUCCAGCCAGUCUGAGGGCUGGCCUCCAGCCUCGAGCAGCAGACAGGCCAUUGCACAAACACAAGUUAACACUAGCAGUCAGGUCAAGGACAAACAUGUGCUAGACAGUAGGUGGUCCAUUCUCUGCCCAGUAGCCAGAGUGAGGCUCUAAACAGUAAAGAUCCCAGAACCGCCCUGCUUAAAGCCAUCCAAUGGCUCCCUCCUCACUCAAAAGAGAAGCCGGAUUCUUCUGGAUUCUUCUUCAAGGCCCUGCACCAUCUGGCCCCGCCUCUGACCUCAUCUCCCAUCACUCAGCUUCAUUCUAGGCUCACCUUUUGUUCCCUUGAACCAACACCUCAACUUCUAUCCUACCUGACAGCCUUUGAACUUAGCUGGUUAAUGCUUGUCCUUCAAACUGGCGAAUGCCUGGCUUCGUAUUCAGCCUCUCACUGCUUCCCGGAGACCGUCCUUGACCUAAAGGGAGUUUGCUCUAAAGUAGCUGACCUCAGCCCAGAUCAGAUAUUCUCUAUUGUAUCAUUCUGUUUUUAAGACUUUUUAAUAGAACUUCUAAGUUCAAUGUUAUGGCAUUAUAUUUUUGGUUGCUUUAUGCCUGCUCUGUGAGGCCUGAGGUGUCUGCCUACCUUAUUCUGCUUUACCCCCAGCACCUAGAAUAGUAUCCGGUGCAUAGUAGGCCUUCAGUGAGGAUCUGUUGAAUGAAUGAAAGAAUGACUCUUACAGGGCUUUUCAAGAGGUGAGAGGUGCCCGUGGUGCCCCAGGUGGGUGAGAGGAGGCUUCACAGGAGGAGACUGAUGCACAGGAGGGUAGUCAGGGAUGAGCUUCCUGGGGUCAGCAUUCAUGGAAGGGUUGGGACGGCCACAGGAGCAGGCAGAGGGAGAAGUCGGGCUGCAGUGCAGGCUCAGGGAAGGCUCCCUGACCCCACAGGGAGCUCCUGAGCAGGGAUGGCCUUUUAUCAUUGCCCUAAGUUCAGCCAAGGGGGUGGACCUUCCUACACCUGCGUUCAUCAGUCAUGGGCCAGGCAUCUUAAUUUCUUUAAUGGAGAUGGUCACCAGAGAGGGCUGUCAGCUGAGGGACCUCGUGUCUGCUGCCAGCACUCCCAGCACUGGCCUUCGGGCCUGCAGGGGAUCUGGAUGGCACAGCACGGAGCCCACACAGGGAGGGGCUCACUGAUAGGAGGGCAGGAUUCAGAUAAGCUGGCAGAGGGAGCGGGGCCAUGCAGGCAGCCCAGCAGAAACCCUGGCAGGGGACUUCACAGGGCCAGAUCCCAGGGUGGAGAGGCAGAAGUCCUCUCUCCCAUUCCCUGAGGGCAGGGUAAGAUGAAUCACAGGCGUGAUACAGACCUUAGGAGGCUGCAAACACGUCCUUGACUUUGUUCUUAUACAUUGUUUUAGCGUUGAUCAGUGCCAAAUUCUCAUCAACCAGCUGCUACACUUCAUUUGUUUUUUGUGUGUGUGGAAGAUUCGCCCUGAGCUAACAUCUGUGCCAAUCUUCUUCUGUUUUGUAUGUGGGUCACCACCACAACAUGGCUGUCGACAAGCAGUGUGUGUCCACACCUGGAAACCGAAUGCUGGCUGCUGAAGCAGAGCACGCUGAAGUUAACCACUAGGCCAUGGGGCCAGC
This 13297-nucleotide long non-coding RNA is filed under the name Equus caballus (horse). RNAcentral's name for it is "lncRNA (ENSECAG00000044489.1)". The record is from RNAcentral. Lineage: Eukaryota; Metazoa; Chordata; Mammalia; Perissodactyla; Equidae.